GCGGACCUUGGAGGCCGGGUGCAGCCCCGUCGGCUCCGCGCUCUCGGCAGAAAAGGCUUUUAUACGCCCCCUGCCCAUCACUUGGAUCUGAUCUGAGUAAGGGGGGGAUUUUUUUCUGGAAGUACCCCCCCACCCACGGUGAAGGAUUUGAGGCUGGACUCCAAUCGAGGAGGAGGCUGGGCGCCCCCCACCCCGCGCACGCCUCCCGAGAGCCCUGGAAGGCGCAGCCCCGGGGGGCCCCCUGCACCCCCAGAGGAGGCAGCGGCGUGAUAACCACCAGGCUCCCCGACCCAAGCUCUCGCCCUUCACUUGUUCAUACAGCCCUGGAAACAGCUGCUUGCUUUACAGGUAUUUUCAUCCGGGUUUCCAAGUUGAUAACGUUCCCACAUUCCAGAGGAAGGAGGGAUUGAAGGGUCUGUGAUUCCCUUGGGUUACUAAUGAGGGUUUGGAAUAAUCAUUCGGGGUCUUGGGGAGAUGGCACUGGCUCUUGAGAGUCACCUGGCCUUAGGGACUCAUCCUCACCACCUGCUCUGGGUUCCAGAUCCUGGUUUUUCUGGGCACAGAGGAGGCGCAUCUAUAUUGAAGCCACUGUGUGGAGACACAUUUAGCCAAUUAUCAGCCUUUCGGGAGCCUGGGUGGAGCCACCGCCUGUGCACCAGGAAAGCGUCGGCUUGUUUAAAGUUUGCUCUAACUUUGUACAUUUUUUCCUUUUUAGUUUUGGCUCUUGGAGUUCCGAGAGCCACCACUUCCUGCCCAGCUGGUUCAUUACCGCAGGGAAAAUGAGGGACUUUUGGGGGCAGAUGUGUUUCCAUUCCGCUAUCAUAAUGCCCCUAAAAAUCCUUAUUGCUCUUGCAGUAUUCCUCGGGGGUCCCUGGGCCAGCUGUGGCAGCUGAGUUUCUCCAGCAACUAAAAGAAGAGACAAAGAUGUUCCCCCAAACCUCCCCUUCUGGUCCCUGGUAGAGCUCCCCUCCACAGUGCUCAGAACUGGUGCACCAUGAAAAAUGAAAAGAUGCCAUCCGCAGACACCAGUUCCUAAACGUGCUCUUUGCCCUCCAGGGGCCGAAUGUUGGAGCUCAGGCUUGGGAAACAGGGCAGCUGAGGCUGCUGUCAGCGUUUGCUCUGGGGGUUCAUGGUGGGGGAGGUGGGGAAAGUGGGGAAGAAACAAGUGUUACCUGUUUGACAAGGCGAUUCACAUUCAGCCUGGGCCUUCCGGCAGGGCCUCUGGGAUCCUCACCUCGGCAGGGGCUCUGGACAGUCCUGAUUGGCUCACCAGCUCCCUGAGUCAGACCACUUCCCCACCCUCUGCCUCGGUUUCCUUCUCUGGCAAGGGAGGGGCAACACCCCAUGCUCUGUUCUGAAAGGGUUCUCACCUGUAUCUAGAGUGUUACCAUGAGUUCAAGUGACAGACAAGCUCAGAAGGUGCUUUGAAAGUGGUGACGCCAAAGCAUGAAACAUGGAAGCUGUCAGUGCUGAUACUUACUAAUACACGCUUCAUAUGCUAAGACAGCUCGGACAGGAGCAGAGACUACAGCCCAGCAGUAAGCACAGGUUUCUAGAAUCAUGGAAUCGGGCAGCCCCAGCCCUGCGACUCUUUCUCAGUGUCACCCCCAGGCAAGUGACUCAACCUCUCUGGGCCUCCAUUUCCUCACGUAGGAAACCUAUGUUUUGGAAUAGAAGUUUCCCAAGUCUGAUAUGCACAUGAUUUUAAGUGGUACCUGGCUAGAGACGUAAAUUAUUCUAACAGGUAUUUCUCUGUACAGCAGAUUUCUACUUACGGCAAGCAGUUGGCUUUCAGUUUAGGGUAGGGGUAGAAGGGCUCUUUUUUACAUCAAUUUAUGCAAGAUAAAGAGGGUGAGUUGCUUGAAAGAAAAAUAUUAAGCAAAGGAGAGUACGGGUGGCCUGAGGAUGGGGCAGAACUCAAGAUGAUACUUUCUAAAGUGUCAAAGUCUACCUCUUUUUUUUUUUUUUUGUCCGCGUGGCAUGGCUUUUGGGAUCUUAGUUCCCCGACCAGGGAUUGAACCCAGCCCUCGGCAGUGAGACGUGGAGUCCUAACCACUGGAUAGCCAGGGAAUUCCCCAUAGUCCACCUCUUAAGAAUUCUUGUUUGUCUUAGGGAUUUUCUGCACCCAUGGAGGUGGUGUGGGGAGGGGUAGGUUGCCAAUUCCAAUCUGCAGGGGGCUCGACCUGUGAUAACCUGGGGGUCACGUGUCUUCUCCCCCCACAAACUCCUGCCCUGCUCGCCAACACCAGUGAGACCCCUUGGAUCUCUGCCCCUAUGCCCACCCAUAGCUCUGAUUUGUCUUUUAUUUUAAGAUCUUGCUGCCCCAGCACCCUCCUUCCUGGCCGAGGCACCUCUUUGAGCCUCAGUUUUCUCAGUGAAAUGGGGAGAAUAAUUAACCCCCUGUCUCAGAGCAGUGUGACGAUCAGGGGUUAAUGGGACUCAAUUGAGCAGCUAUGAUGGUUCACACACAGGGCACGGCUCAGAAG
Molecule: long non-coding RNA, 2486 nt
Organism: Aethalodelphis obliquidens (Pacific white-sided dolphin)
Lineage: Eukaryota; Metazoa; Chordata; Mammalia; Artiodactyla; Delphinidae
Exons: 2
Source: RefSeq, a predicted model, not a curated record